AGUCUUAUAUUCAAUUAUGAUUUAAAAUUGCAAAUUUUAAGGUGCAAAUAAUAAGCUAAGGCUU
RNAcentral lists this transfer RNA (64 nucleotides) under Westermannia superba. RNAcentral's name for it is "tRNA-Cys". The record is from RNAcentral. Lineage: Eukaryota; Metazoa; Arthropoda; Insecta; Lepidoptera; Nolidae.